Molecule: ribosomal RNA, 1005 nt
Filed under: unidentified
Description: Micracanthorhynchina dakusuiensis partial large subunit ribosomal RNA
Rfam family: Eukaryotic large subunit ribosomal RNA
Source: RNAcentral
CUGGGUUAAUGUUAGUAAUGGCGAAUGAACACUAUCAAACCAAUAUCGAAUUACAUUAUCGAUGAUAAUGUGAAGUGUGAUAUUGUCGUGGUAUUUUCGAGUUUUCUUUUUGUGACUAAGUAGAUUGAUUGCUUUAUUACAUAGAGGGUGAAAUUCCCAUUGUUAAAAAAAGAAACUCGUAUUCUUACUACGUUUGAGUAAGGUUGCUUGAGAAGGCAACUCCAAUAUGCAUGAUGGACUUCAUGCAAGGUCAAUUAUUUUCGCGAGACCGAUAGCUUACAAGUACCGUGAGGGAAAGUUGCAAAGUACUCUGAAAGGAGAGUUCAAAAGCCUGUGAAACCGUAUACUGCAAAGCAAAUGACUGUUUGCUACCAUUGAUCAAUCAGUUUCUUGUCGUUUUUGACUAAUGAACUUUAUUGUUUGUUAAAAUAGAUGAAAGACUAGAAACGUUCUUGAUACAUGGUUUGUACGUUGUGAUUGGUUGUUUUAUCACAUAUUGUCGAACGGGUUAUCUUUGUAUGAUCCAAUAGCAUUUUUGAUUGUGUUGAGAUUUUCUCAAAGAAACAAACUGAUCGCGAACUUUUAGUCAUGACUUUUAUGCUGUAUUAAAUGACUUUCAUUUUGUCGGAUUUCCGACAUAUGCAGUAAGUUAUGAUUGUAUGUUGUGCAAUUUCUUGAAAUAGUCAUUUGACCCGUCUUGAAACACGGACCAAGGAGUUCAACUCGUGCGCGAGUUUACAUUUUUGAAUAAAAUAUGAAACGCAGUGAAAGCAAACAUGCGAAAGCAAUUUGCUAACAAUUUUGUAUACUUAUGUAUACUUGAUUGAUCAGCACAUUAUUGGGUCGCACAUAUUUUGAAGUAGUGUUGACCGCGAAAGAGCGUUCGAGUUGUGACCCGAAAGAUGGUGAACUAUGCCUGACGAGAACGAAGCCAGGGGAAACCCUGGUGGAAGUUCGCAGCGCUUUUGACGUGCAAAUCAAUCGCCGGACUUGGGUAUAGCGGCG